AUACGGAGGGGGCAAGCGUUGUUCGGAAUUACUGGGCGUAAAGGGCGCGCAGGCUGUUUCGGUAGUCAGGCGUGAAAUCCCCGGGCUCAACCCGGGAACUGCGUUUGAUACUGCGGAACUAGAGAUCGGGAGAGGGUAGUGGAAUUCCCAGUGUAGAGGUGAAAUUCGUAGAUAUUGGGAAGAACACCAGUGGCGAAGGCGGCUACCUGGACCGAUACUGACGCUGAGGCGCGAAAGCGUGGGGAGCAAACAGGAUUAGAAACCCCAGUAGUCC
RNAcentral lists this ribosomal RNA (274 nucleotides) under uncultured bacterium. Its description in RNAcentral is "partial 16S ribosomal RNA". It matches the Rfam family "Bacterial small subunit ribosomal RNA", at positions 523 to 796 of the family's 1533-position model. The record is from RNAcentral.